RNAcentral lists this non-coding RNA (31 nucleotides) under Rattus norvegicus (Norway rat). The record is from RNAcentral. Lineage: Eukaryota; Metazoa; Chordata; Mammalia; Rodentia; Muridae.
UAACAGAGAAGGCACUAAUAAAGACAAAAGU